RNAcentral lists this ribosomal RNA (468 nucleotides) under uncultured bacterium. RNAcentral describes it as "partial 16S ribosomal RNA". It matches the Rfam family "Bacterial small subunit ribosomal RNA", at positions 27 to 507 of the family's 1533-position model. The record is from RNAcentral.
GGACGAACGCUGGCGGCGUGCUUAACACAUGCAAGUCGAACGGAAAGGCCUCUUUCGGGGGGUACUCGAGUGGCGAACGGGUGAGUAACACGUGAGUAACCUGCCCUUGAUUUUGGGAUAACUUCAGGAAACAGGGGCUAAUACCGGAUAGGAACAUCUGCAGCCUGGUGGGGGUUGGAAAGUUUCGGCGGUUGGGGAUGGACUCGCGGCUUAUCAGCUUGUUGGUGGGGUAGUGGCUUACCAAGGCUUUGACGGGUAGCCGGCCUGAGAGGGUGACCGGCCACAUUGGGACUGAGAUACGGCCCAGACUCCUACGGGAGGCAGCAGUGGGGAAUAUUGCACAAUGGGUGGAAGCCUGAUGCAGCAACGCCGUGUGCGGGAUGACGGCCUUCGGGUUGUAAACCGCUUUCGCUCAUGACGAAGCUUUGUGUGACGGUAGUGGGUAAAGAAGCACCGGCUAACUACGUG